UCUUUCUUCCUUCUCCAUUUCUUUUACUUUCCUUCUUCUUUAUCCACCAGCCAAAUGUUAUAUGGUUGGUCCCAACUUCACACCAAGUUAGUAUAUUAAUUUUUAAAAAAUAAAAAUUACAAAAUCUAGGUUCGAACCAUAAACCAGCCAAUUUGAUAAUCUGGUUUUUGGUUUUGGUACGACGCCUCCGGUUUGAAAUCGAUUAAGCAACAGCUCUACCUCGCAUAAUACCUCUGAAAUCGUCGCUAGCCACACCAGCUGCUUUCCGCCUCUCACCGUAGACCUAGCAAAUCACCGUCGGUUUCUGUUUAUGUGUUUCUUUCUCUCAUUCUCUCAUUUUUUUUCUACUGGAAGAUGUUGACACUGCGUUGGUUGUACUCUCUCAUAGAAGACUAAUAAGCGAAAUGGUCUGUUUCUUCAACAAGACAAGUGAAACUGGAACCGGAACUUAAUUGUAAACUCAUGGGUAUAUAAAGUUCCCCGCCAUCAUCUACCUGAAGAUAGUCACCCUACACUAGGAUAGUCCCUACAUCGCUCCACCGGCACCAAGUUGAAUGAAGGUACGACUGCGAUCGAGGAAGGAAUGUCUCAGCUCGGUGAUACAGAAUAUAGCCACGAUGAGGCAUUUCUUUCCUUGGUCCACCGGGAUAAAAAGAAAAGAAUUUAUGGGCUUGGAUCACUUGCAGCGGCGGUGCCAAUAGAGGAGGUUUUCGAUUCCAGCGACGGGCAUACCCCGAGUGGUCCGAGUUACGCCCAACAUUUGGAGAAUCUCGAGAAAAAUCACAUGACCAUCAUUGAGCAGCUCAAGAUGACUAAUGCUCGCUUGGACAAGCGUAACGAUGAUGCGGACUCUAGUGCGCCUCCGGUUUGUUGAUAUUUAUGUUUUCCGCACGAUUAAUAUUUAGUAUUGAUGAUAUUAUGACUGGAUUAUAUGUUUUGGCCCAUAUGUGAUGUUGGAAUAGUUCAAUUUCUGUAAUUGAAACUUUUUUUAGAUAUUUUGGACGUUUAUUAUGGAUUUUUAGUUGACUCAGUAUGGUUGUUUGAUUGUGGUUUGAAAUUUCGUUUUGUACUUGUGUACAUGU
Andrographis paniculata is the source of this 1082-nucleotide long non-coding RNA. RefSeq lists it as uncharacterized. The transcript has 5 exons. The record is from RefSeq and is a predicted model, not a curated record. Lineage: Eukaryota; Viridiplantae; Streptophyta; Magnoliopsida; Lamiales; Acanthaceae.